This 77-nucleotide transfer RNA is filed under the name Candidatus Woesebacteria bacterium. Its description in RNAcentral is "tRNA-Ala". It matches the Rfam family "tRNA". From Rfam's summary of the family: Transfer RNA (tRNA) molecules are approximately 80 nucleotides in length. Their secondary structure includes four short double-helical elements and three loops (D, anti-codon, and T loops). The record is from RNAcentral. RNAcentral also lists the same sequence under 2 other names. Lineage: Bacteria; Candidatus Woeseibacteriota.
GGGCCCGUAGCUCAGUUGGCUAGAGCGUCCGCAUGGCAUGCGGAAGGUCAGGGGUUCAACUCCCCUCGGGUCCACCA